AUGCAUAACGCCAUUAGCCCUAGAAAAAGGAAAUUCAAAUCUAUAGACGGUAAUCCCAAGAGACGGCGUAGAUCUGAUAGUGGGGGUAGCAAUAUGGAUUUAGAACUUGAAGAGAUGGCAAUGAGGUAUGACGCAACCGGCGAUACGUCUCAUUUGUCGGCCGUAGGACAUGUGGGGGGUGGGGGCAUGUAUGCAGAAGGUUGUUUAGACAUGCGGGAAAUGUGUGUUGGCUUAGAUAGAACUAGGCGUGUGUUAAUUGCAGCUGAUGCAUGGGGGCAUAGCAUGGCUAAUGCUCUAUAUCAGGCAGCACAGAUAAAUGUUUCGAACGAAUCAGGUCUAGAUGAGAUGGUGGGGCUAGAGGCGCCAGGAGAUUUAGACACUAGGGGUGUGUUGUAUGCGGGGGCAAACACACGAAAGGUACUUAACGCUGUCGGGGGGUGGUUGGAUAGUGCACAAGAGAGUCUAUACAUAUCAGCGCAGAUCGAUGUAUUGCAUGGGUCGCAAUGUGAUGAAGGGAUUGGCGAGGGUUUUCAGGACCCCCCGGCUGUGGCAGGGGUCCCUAUAGAGUCGAAUAUACAGGUCGGUGGGGGCGGUGUGGGGGGUGGUGGCGGUAGUGGCGUGGGGGGCGGUAGCGGUAGUGGCGUGGUGGGCGGUGGCGGUGGUGGCGGUGAUGGUGGUGGCGUGGGAGGAGGCGAUGGUGGUGGUGAUGUUGAUGGUGAUGGCAGUGGUGACGGUGAUGGUGGUGGUGACGGUGAUGGUGGUGCUGCUGAUGCUGAUGAUGGUACACCUGUGCCUGCUGUAACGGGGGAAGAUAAUGACGAGUUGCAUACCAGAUUAUUUCCCCAUUUUAACGGCUUUGAGGUUAGACAGGCCAUUGAUCUGAGAAGUAUAUCCCUUGCAAAUUUACAGGAGGUCCCUGAUUUGAUCAGGGAGAGGCUGUCGGGUGUCAUAACGAGCUGCUCACAAAGUUCAGCCGAUGGUAGUGUCUUAAACGUGGUGCUGAGAGGCCCUUCAUUGGCCUCUGAUGUACAGACUGUGCUCGUAUCGGGUGACGACUACAAUGCGGAUUUGUUUAUGGACCAUAUUAGCCAAGUCAUGCAAAGUAACGACACAGGUCUGACGGAUGACGUGCUAGAGUUGGUGGUCACAGGGGUCCACAACAAGCGGGGUGGGGCACGUUUGAAGUUAAAAAACAUUCCCUAUGAUGAAAUCAUAUACAAGAAGAAGCUAAGUCUCUACACCCCGAGUAAUACUCAUAACAAUUUGUGUUUCUCACUAUGCAUGACACAUUUUCUGCAUGAAGGGGUAACCGGGGGUGACACAGCGUCCGAAGAGACUAAUUUGGAGGCGGCUCGCAAAUUACACAGUGAUCUGGGGUUUGACCCGGAUCACUCUGUGGGUUUCUCGGAUGUAUCCAAAUUUGAGAGACAUCUAGAUGUUAAAAUCCUGAUAUUUCAUCAUAAUGACACAUUCAGGAAGCUGGAGAUGUUCCAGACACAUACAGCCCAGCAUCCUAAAACAGUAUGGCUGUACCUCCAUGAUAACCAUUACCAUUGCAUAGAGAACAGAACGGCAUUCUUUGGUACGGGAUAUGUGUGUGAAUAUUGUUACAAGGCCCAUGAGGGAAUUCUAUUCCACAAAUGCCCGAUCCAUUGCAAUGUGUGUCUGACAGUGUGCGAUAGACUAGCAGGUCGUACGAUAAAGUGCAAGGACUGCAGUCGUAUAUGCCGCUCGCAGGUCUGCUACAACACACACAAGAAGCAUUCUGCCAAACAUGACAUGAUACCUUGUGAAAAGCUCAAAUACUGCGAUCGUUGUUGUAGACAGUAUAUCAUACCGAAGAAGAAGAAGAAGGGGGUGGGGGAGGGGGAGGAGGAGGAGGAGGAGGAGGAGAAGGGUGACGCUAAUGGUCAUGUAUGCAGCGAUGCAAAGUGUCGUAAGUGUGGGGAGCCGAUGCCCGAAGAGGGAGUACAUGAUUGCUAUAUCCAGCCGUACGACAAGAAAAAGAAAAAGAAACGCAGGGGUGGUCCAUCGGAUGACGAUGAUGACGACGCUCCGCCUAAUAAAUACAUAUACUAUGAUUUCGAAACGCGCGUGCAUGAUGGUCGUCACGAAGCAAACUGUGUGGCGGCUAUUACGUCUGAAGGCAUAGAAUGGUAUGCUACCGGUCUAGAUUGUGUAAGAGAGUUUGUGAAACGCUACAGAACAGGGGAGUAUACGUUGUAUACAUUUGUGGCACACAAUGCGUCGGGCUUUGAUAACUAUAUCGUCCUGGACUACAUGACCAAGCAGGGUAUUAAACCCGUUUUAGUCAUGAAGGGUAGCAGAGUCAUUUUGAUGCGUGAUGACGCCUACCAGCAGAGAUGGGUCGACUCGUUUAGCUUUUUGCCCAUGCGACUGGCUAAUGCACCGGAGGCGUUGGAUUUUGAUGAUAUGGUAAAAGGUUAUUUUCCUCAUAAAUUCAACACACGGGCCAACGAGUCUUAUGUCGGUGCCUACCCUGAGAUCUCAUAUUAUGGUUAUGAUUCCAUGACUAGCGAUCAAAAGACAGAUUUCGCUAUUUGGUACAGAUCUGUACGACACAAAAAAUUUGACUUUCAGAAACAGCUACUGUGUCAACGAUGUGAUGAUCCUGUACACAGCGUGUGGGAUCUACAGGGAAAAUUUCAUAGAGUGUGCCAAUAUAGACCCCCUGGCCUAUGCCACCCUGGCUUCGGCGUGCAUGGCCACCUUCAAAAAGUCGUUCUUGAAGAAAAACGUCCUGGCAUUGACCUACGAGGGGGUCUAUAG
This 2790-nucleotide long non-coding RNA is filed under the name Gadus morhua (Atlantic cod). Its description in RNAcentral is "lncRNA (ENSGMOG00000032304.1)". The record is from RNAcentral. Lineage: Eukaryota; Metazoa; Chordata; Actinopteri; Gadiformes; Gadidae.